This 71-nucleotide transfer RNA is filed under the name Loxodonta africana (African savanna elephant). It matches the Rfam family "tRNA". From Rfam's summary of the family: Transfer RNA (tRNA) molecules are approximately 80 nucleotides in length. Their secondary structure includes four short double-helical elements and three loops (D, anti-codon, and T loops). Lineage: Eukaryota; Metazoa; Chordata; Mammalia; Proboscidea; Elephantidae. The record is from Rfam by way of RNAcentral.
ACAGUGGUGGUUCAGUGGUAGAAUUCUCAUCUUCUGCGUGGGAGUCUUGGGUUAGAGUCCUGGCCAAGGUA